GGCGGACGGGUGAGUAAUGCUUAGGAAUCUGCCUAUUAGUGGGGGACAACAUCUCGAAAGGGAUGCUAAUACCGCAUACGUCCUACGGGAGAAAGCAGGGGAUCACUUGUGACCUUGCGCUAAUAGAUGAGCCUAAGUCGGAUUAGCUAGUUGGUGGGGUAAAGGCCUACCAAGGCGACGAUCUGUAGCGGGUCUGAGAGGAUGAUCCGCCACACUGGGACUGAGACACGGCCCAGACUCCUACGGGAGGCAGCAGUGGGGAAUAUUGGACAAUGGGGGGAACCCUGAUCCAGCCAUGCCGCGUGUGUGAAGAAGGCCUUAUGGUUGUAAAGCACUUUAAGCGAGGAGGAGGCUCUUUUGGUUAAUACCCAAGAUGAGUGGACGUUACUCGCAGAAUAAGCACCGGCUAACUCUGUGCCAGCAGCCGCGGUAAUACAGAGGGUGCAAGCGUUAAUCGGAUUUACUGGGCGUAAAGCGCGCGUAGGCGGCCAAUUAAGUCAAAUGUGAAAUCCCCGAGCUUAACUUGGGAAUUGCAUUCGAUACUGGUUGGCUAGAGUGUGGGAGAGGAUGGUAGAAUUCCAGGUGUAGCGGUGAAAUGCGUAGAGAUCUGGAGGAAUACCGAUGGCGAAGGCAGCCAUCUGGCCUAACACUGACGCUGAGGUGCGAAAGCAUGGGGAGCAAACAGGAUUAGAUACCCUGGUAGUCCAUGCCGUAAACGAUGUCUACUAGCCGUUGGGGCCUUUG
Molecule: ribosomal RNA, 744 nt
Filed under: uncultured bacterium
Lineage: Bacteria
Description: bacterial SSU rRNA
Rfam family: Bacterial small subunit ribosomal RNA
Source: RNAcentral